RNAcentral lists this long non-coding RNA (666 nucleotides) under Mus musculus (house mouse). RNAcentral describes it as "RIKEN cDNA 2600014E21 gene". Lineage: Eukaryota; Metazoa; Chordata; Mammalia; Rodentia; Muridae. The record is from RNAcentral.
AGUCUGCCUGAUCUCCAGCGCCACUAAUAGUGCGUGGCUGUCAGGCUGACGCCACAGGCCUGAAGUCUCAGGACCACAAAAGGAGGAUCACCCAUCUGAGGCCUUCCUGGUCUUCACAAUGAGUUUCAGGGCUCUCCUGUACUUCUUUUUCAGGGGCCAUCGCUCUACAGUCAAUGUAGAAAAUUGGAGCAUCACAGUGUCAGAUCAUUCCCACGCUAUCAAACCAAAUAUGACCAGGCAAGAAACAGAACGGAAAUGGAGAGGAGAGCCCAGCAUGACUUGCGCCGUGCCAAAGGAAUACGUAAACGUCUACUCUUGAGCCUUCCAGUGGCCACUGGUACCUUUGGACCUUGAGCUGGAGCUGCAGCCUAGAGUUAUUAUUUAGCUUUGCCCUUUGUCUUUGGUGCAGAAGGGGUGAUGCCUGACCUACACACCCGGCAAUACCAGAAGUUUCACUACCUUCCGUUGGUAAACGCUUCAGGGAAGGCUCUGCAACCCUGAACGUGUUUUAUUGUAGAACCUCACUAGGAAACUCAUCAGUAUUUAUUAAAGAUGAAUUAAAAGAAGGAGGAAAAGGAAAAACGGGAUAGUGAAGAGAAUAGAUGAAUGAAAAAGAAGCAAAGGGAAGAGAGGAGGAAGGGACAAAGAGGGCAAGAAAAGAGAAAA